Molecule: ribosomal RNA, 236 nt
Filed under: uncultured bacterium
Lineage: Bacteria
Description: partial 16S ribosomal RNA
Rfam family: Bacterial small subunit ribosomal RNA
Source: RNAcentral
GACGAACGCUGGCGGCGUGCUUAACACAUGCAAGUCGAGCGGUAAGGCCCUUUCGGGGGUACGACGAGCGGCGAACGGGUGAGUAACACGUGGGUGACCUCGCCCUCAGCUCUGGGAGUAAGCCUGGGAAACCGGGGUACUAAUACCGGAUAUGACUCCAUGACGCAUGUUGUGGGGUGGAAAGCCUUGUGCGGCUGAGGAUGGGCCCGCGGCCUAUCAGCUUGUUGGUGGGGGGA